This 83-nucleotide transfer RNA is filed under the name Canis lupus familiaris (dog). It matches the Rfam family "tRNA". From Rfam's summary of the family: Transfer RNA (tRNA) molecules are approximately 80 nucleotides in length. Their secondary structure includes four short double-helical elements and three loops (D, anti-codon, and T loops). RNAcentral also lists the same sequence under 1 other name. The record is from Rfam by way of RNAcentral. Lineage: Eukaryota; Metazoa; Chordata; Mammalia; Carnivora; Canidae.
ACCUGGGUGGCUCAGUGGUAGAGCAUCUGCCUUUGGCUCAGGUUGUGAUCCCGGGGUCCUGGGAUCGAGUCCCGGGUCAGGCU